RNAcentral lists this ribosomal RNA (238 nucleotides) under uncultured bacterium. RNAcentral's name for it is "partial 16S ribosomal RNA". It matches the Rfam family "Bacterial small subunit ribosomal RNA", at positions 18 to 245 of the family's 1533-position model. The record is from RNAcentral.
CCUGGCUCAGGAUGAACGCUAGCGACAGGCUUAACACAUGCAAGUCGAGGGGCAGCACAGGUAGCAAUACCGGGUGGCGACCGGCGCACGGGUGAGUAACGCGUAUGCAACUUACCUAUCAGAGGGGGAUAACCCGGCGAAAGUCGGACUAAUACCGCAUGAAGCNGGGGAAAAAAACCCCGCAUGGGGAUAUUUGCUAAAGAUCUAUCGCUGAUAGAUAGGCAUGCGUUCCAUUAGG